GUAAGGUCUAAGUGAAAAAAUAAGGUCUAUUUUAAUCUUGCUAGGAGAUGGACAAUAGUUGAAAUUCAAGUCUCUCUCAAGGCAACACAACCGGAGGUCUCCAGAUCGGAGAAAAUUGUCGGAGAGAGGGCGAUGCCGAAAGGAUCAAAGCUAGUAGGAUAAUGGAUUAAACUUAUUUGUUGGGCUUCCUCUGGAUGCUAUUUCCCACGGCAACACACUAACCAUGUAAGAGCAAUCGGGGUCGGGCAGAAAGCUCUAAGGCUUUUGGGGUCGAGAUGCGGGUCUCGAGCUUCACGUGUCUCUCUGCUUCCAUGCUGCCAAACAAGCCAAAAUUGAACUCCCUAAUUGGGUGUCAAAGAUUGGUGAAGCACAACCAAACAUCUUCACUAACAGGUCGGGACAGCGCUACAAAGAGUGUCUGUCGCUCGCGAUGGAUGAUUUGCCUGUCCUCUAGGGGAAGACUCUGGUUCAAGUCAGGUUUACUAGGGAUUCCUAUAGAGCUUCAAAUCUUCAUUCUCAAACCUCAUGGGCUCUACAAUCAUGAUGUUUCAGUGAGCCUAGGACCAGAUGGAGAGCUCCGAUACCCUUCUUAGCCGUCAACGAGAGGUGGUAAGAUUAUAGGAGCAGGAGAAUUCCAGAACAACGACAAAAACAUGCUAAAGCAUAGCACACCUAGGCGACCGGAAACCCCUUUUUCGGGCCUCUAAUCGCCCAUGACGUCCCCAACUACGACUAAUCGCCCAUCGCCAACACCUUCUUCAAGGAGAACGGAGGCUCCUGGGAGACCCCAUAUAGAGUAGCUCUUUUUCUGAUCAAAAAGCAAAGCAGAAUACAACACAGCAAAAGUGAAACCGCGAGGAGGCCCCCGGUGGCUAUGAGAAUUAUGUCUUUCAUUUCGGAGAAUUGGGAGAGAGAAAGAAUG
Nelumbo nucifera (sacred lotus) is the source of this 922-nucleotide non-coding RNA. The record is from RefSeq and is a predicted model, not a curated record. Lineage: Eukaryota; Viridiplantae; Streptophyta; Magnoliopsida; Proteales; Nelumbonaceae.